AACGAACGCUGGCGGCAUGCCUAACACAUGCAAGUCGAACGAUGCUUUCGGGCAUAGUGGCGCACGGGUGCGUAACGCGUGGGAAUCUGCCCUUGGGUUCGGAAUAACAGUGAGAAAUUGCUGCUAAUACCGGAUGAUGUCUUCGGACCAAAGAUUUAUCGCCGAAGGAUGAGCCCGCGUAGGAUUAGCUAGUUGGUGGGGUAAUGGCCUACCAAGGCGACGAUCCUUAGCUGGUCUGAGAGGAUGAUCAGCCACACUGGGACUGAGACACGGCCCAGACUCCUACGGGAGGCAGCAGUGGGGAAUAUUGGACAAUGGGCGCAAGCCUGAUCCAGCAAUGCCGCGUGAGUGAUGAAGGCCUUAGGGCUGUAAAGCUCUUUUACCCGGGAUGAUAAUGACAGUACCGGGAGAAUAAGCUCCGGCUAACUCCGUG
This 433-nucleotide ribosomal RNA is filed under the name uncultured bacterium. Its description in RNAcentral is "partial 16S ribosomal RNA". It matches the Rfam family "Bacterial small subunit ribosomal RNA", at positions 29 to 507 of the family's 1533-position model. The record is from RNAcentral.